GAAGGGUGCAAGCGUUACUCGGAAUUACUGGGCGUAAAGCGUGCGUAGGUGGUUCGUUAAGUCUGUCGUGAAAGCCCCGGGCUCAACCUGGGAAUGGCGAUGGAUACUGGCGGGCUAGAGUGCGGUAGAGGAGAGUGGAAUUCCCGGUGUAGCAGUGAAAUGCGUAGAGAUCGGGAGGAACAUCAGUUGCGAAGGCGGCUCUCUGGACCAGCACUGACACUGAGGCACGAAAGCGUGGGGAGCAAACAGGAUUAGAUACCCUGGUAGUCCACGCCCUAAACGAUGCGAACUGGACGUUGGGAGCAACUAGGCUCUCAGUGUCGAAGCUAACGCGUUAAGUUUGCCGCCUGGGGAGUACGGUCGCAAGACUG
RNAcentral lists this ribosomal RNA (371 nucleotides) under uncultured bacterium. RNAcentral describes it as "bacterial SSU rRNA". It matches the Rfam family "Bacterial small subunit ribosomal RNA", at positions 527 to 896 of the family's 1533-position model. The record is from RNAcentral.